GUGGGGAAUAUUGGACAAUGGGCGCAAGCCUGAUCCAGCCAUGCCGCGUGAGUGAUGAAGGCCCUAGGGUUGUAAAGCUCUUUCACCGGUGAAGAUAAUGACGGUAACCGGAGAAGAAGCCCCGGCUAACUUCGUGCCAGCAGCCGCGGUAAUACGAAGGGGGCUAGCGUUGUUCGGAAUUACUGGGCGUAAAGCGCACGUAGGCGGGUAUUUAAGUCAGGGGUGAAAUCCCGGAGCUCAACUCCGGAACUGCCUUUGAUACUGGGUACCUAGAGUAUGGAAGAGGUAAGUGGAAUUCCGAGUGUAGAGGUGAAAUUCGGAGAUAUUCGGAGGAACACCAGUGGCGAAGGCGGCUUACUGGUCCAUUACUGACGCUGAGGUGCGAAAGCGUGGGGAGCAAACAGGAUUAGAUACCCGGGUAGUCC
Molecule: ribosomal RNA, 425 nt
Filed under: uncultured bacterium
Lineage: Bacteria
Description: partial 16S ribosomal RNA
Rfam family: Bacterial small subunit ribosomal RNA
Source: RNAcentral